RNAcentral lists this ribosomal RNA (253 nucleotides) under uncultured bacterium. RNAcentral describes it as "partial 16S ribosomal RNA". It matches the Rfam family "Bacterial small subunit ribosomal RNA", at positions 524 to 776 of the family's 1533-position model. The record is from RNAcentral.
UACGGGGGGGGCAAGCGUUGUUCGGAAUUACUGGGCGUAAAGGGCUCGUAGGCGGCCAACUAAGUCGGAUGUGAAAUCCCCAGGCUUAACCUGGGAACUGCAUUCGAUACUGGAUGGCUUGAAUUCGGGAGAGGGAUGCAGAAUUCCAGGUGUAGCGGUGAAAUGCGCAGAUAUCGGGAAGAACACCCGUGGCGAAGGCGGUUCUCUGGGACGGUACUGACGCUGAGACGCGAAAGCGUGGGGAGCGAACAGG